AGCUAAUACCGCAUAACGUCGCAAGACCAAAGAGGGGGACCUUCGGGCCUCUUGCCAUCGGAUGUGCCCAGAUGGGAUUAGCUAGUAGGUGGGGUAACGGCUCACCUAGGCGACGAUCCCUAGCUGGUCUGAGAGGAUGACCAGCCACACUGGAACUGAGACACGGUCCAGACUCCUACGGGAGGCAGCAGUGGGGAAUAUUGCACAAUGGGCGCAAGCCUGAUGCAGCCAUGCCGCGUGUAUGAAGAAGGCCUUCGGGUUGUAAAGUACUUUCAGCGGGGAGGAAGGGAGUAAAGUUAAUACCUUUGCUCAUUGACGUUACCCGCAGAAGAAGCACCGGCUAACUCCGUGCCAGCAGCCGCGGUAAUACGGAGGGUGCAAGCGUUAAUCGGAAUUACUGGGCGUAAAGCGCACGCAGGCGGUUUGUUAAGUCAGAUGUGAAAUCCCCGGGCUCAACCUGGGAACUGCAUCUGAUACUGGCAAGCUUGAGUCUCGUAGAGGGGGGUAGAAUUCCAGGUGUAGCGGUGAAAUGCGUAGAGAUCUGGAGGAAUACCGGUGGCGAAGGCGGCCCCCUGGACGAAGACUGACGCUCAGGUGCGAAAGCGUGGG
Molecule: ribosomal RNA, 609 nt
Filed under: Escherichia coli
Lineage: Bacteria; Pseudomonadati; Pseudomonadota; Gammaproteobacteria; Enterobacterales; Enterobacteriaceae
Description: bacterial SSU rRNA
Rfam family: Bacterial small subunit ribosomal RNA
Source: RNAcentral